GCUAAGAAAAUAGAGAAAAAAGUGAGAUGAAAAUACAUUCCAGAUUACAUGGGGUGGGUUAUGGUGAGGAAACUGUGAUAGCCAGAAGCCCUGCUCUUAAAUUUGUCUUUAACUCUCUCCUUGUAUAUCUUUCUCUCUUGGAUUUUUUUUUUAUUUUUGCCAUAUAAUGAUACCAAAAAUAUAUAUAUGACCAUCUACAAAUCAUAUCUGCCAGUGCCUCUAUCUUGGACUUUUGAGCCUCAGAACUCUAAGACAAAAAUAACCUGUUGUUUAAGCCACCCAGUCUUUGGUGGUGUUAUAGUAGUCUAGACUGACUUUAAGCCAUUCUUUAAAUCACUAUUGAAACUAAGGCCUUUCCUCCUUCCAAAAGGCAAAGCGCCCCAGCCUAGAAGCUGAGCAGAAGAAGGUGAGGCCAUCCUGUUCCAGGAAAAACAGUGUCCUGUGCCCAGAGACCAUGAAGAAAUGCUUCCUGCCAAGCUCCAUUCAAAUGUAGGGCACAUGGAGGUGCACUUUCAGAAGACAGAGUUGAAUUUUUCUUGCCUGCAUUGUCUCAGACAUGUGGCCUCCUUGGUAGUGAUGAGCUGUCAGUCCUCCAAGCUGUCAGCCAAUCCUGAGCCUUUCAUCAGGGGUGGAAUAGCCCUCUGAAGAGAGGAAAUGGUUAUUUCCAACCUUUCUUCAAUACCUUGAAAUUGCUUUUACAGAUCUUCAGCUCCUCAUCAUGGCGCAUCUGGUCACUGGGUUUAGAACUUCCUGCCAUUUGCUGUGACUCCUGAUCUGCCUGACAGUAAAAAUGACUGUGAAGGGUAAAUAUUUGGAACCAGCUGAUACAGACACAGCCAUGACAGUGACUAAAGAAACUUAAGAAAAAAAAAAAAA
Fukomys damarensis (Damara mole-rat) is the source of this 876-nucleotide long non-coding RNA. RefSeq lists it as uncharacterized. The record is from RefSeq and is a predicted model, not a curated record. NCBI's taxonomy places the organism in Eukaryota, Metazoa, Chordata, Mammalia, Rodentia, Bathyergidae. The transcript is spliced from 2 exons.